This 1050-nucleotide ribosomal RNA is filed under the name Lacticaseibacillus paracasei. RNAcentral describes it as "bacterial SSU rRNA". It matches the Rfam family "Bacterial small subunit ribosomal RNA", at positions 433 to 1475 of the family's 1533-position model. Lineage: Bacteria; Bacillati; Bacillota; Bacilli; Lactobacillales; Lactobacillaceae. The record is from RNAcentral.
UUUGUGUUGGAAGAAAAUGGUCGGCAGAGUAACUGUUGUCGGCGUGACGGUAUCCAACCAGAAAGCCACGGCUAACUACGUGCCAGCAGCCGCGGUAAUACGUAGGUGGCAAGCGUUAUCCGGAUUUAUUGGGCGUAAAGCGAGCGCAGGCGGUUUUUUAAGUCUGAUGUGAAAGCCCUCGGCUUAACCGAGGAAGCGCAUCGGAAACUGGGAAACUUGAGUGCAGAAGAGGACAGUGGAACUCCAUGUGUAGCGGUGAAAUGCGUAGAUAUAUGGAAGAACACCAGUGGCGAAGGCGGCUGUCUGGUCUGUAACUGACGCUGAGGCUCGAAAGCAUGGGUAGCGAACAGGAUUAGAUACCCUGGUAGUCCAUGCCGUAAACGAUGAAUGCUAGGUGUUGGAGGGUUUCCGCCCUUCAGUGCCGCAGCUAACGCAUUAAGCAUUCCGCCUGGGGAGUACGACCGCAAGGUUGAAACUCAAAGGAAUUGACGGGGGCCCGCACAAGCGGUGGAGCAUGUGGUUUAAUUCGAAGCAACGCGAAGAACCUUACCAGGUCUUGACAUCUUUUGAUCACCUGAGAGAUCAGGUUUCCCCUUCGGGGGCAAAAUGACAGGUGGUGCAUGGUUGUCGUCAGCUCGUGUCGUGAGAUGUUGGGUUAAGUCCCGCAACGAGCGCAACCCUUAUGACUAGUUGCCAGCAUUUAGUUGGGCACUCUAGUAAGACUGCCGGUGACAAACCGGAGGAAGGUGGGGAUGACGUCAAAUCAUCAUGCCCCUUAUGACCUGGGCUACACACGUGCUACAAUGGAUGGUACAACGAGUUGCGAGACCGCGAGGUCAAGCUAAUCUCUUAAAGCCAUUCUCAGUUCGGACUGUAGGCUGCAACUCGCCUACACGAAGUCGGAAUCGCUAGUAAUCGCGGAUCAGCACGCCGCGGUGAAUACGUUCCCGGGCCUUGUACACACCGCCCGUCACACCAUGAGAGUUUGUAACACCCGAAGCCGGUGGCGUAACCCUUUAGGGAGCGAGCCGUCUAAGUGACAGAAUUGGU